RNAcentral lists this ribosomal RNA (490 nucleotides) under uncultured bacterium. RNAcentral describes it as "partial 16S ribosomal RNA". It matches the Rfam family "Bacterial small subunit ribosomal RNA", at positions 38 to 507 of the family's 1533-position model. The record is from RNAcentral.
GGGGGGGGGGGGGGGGGGGGCGGGGGGGGGGGGGGGGGGGGGGGGCAGGGGGAAGCGUGCUUCUUUGCUGACGAGUGGCGGGCGGGUGAGUAAUGUCUGGGAAACUGCCUGAUGGGGGGGGAUAACUACUGGAAACGGUAGCUAAUACCGCAUAACGUCGCAAGACCAGAGAGGGGGGCCUUCGGGCCUCUUGCCAUCGGAUGUGCCCAGAUGGGAUUAGCUAGUAGGUGGGGUAACGGCUCACCUAGGCGACGAUCCCUAGCUGGUCUGAGAGGAUGACCAGCCACACUGGAACUGAGACACGGUCCAGACUCCUACGGGAGGCAGCAGUGGGGAAUAUUGCACAAUGGGCGCAAGCCUGAUGCAGCCAUGCCGCGUGUAUGAAGAAGGCCUUCGGGUUGUAAAGUACUUUCAGCGGGGAGGAAGGGAGUAAAGUUAAUACCUUUGCUCAUUGACGUUACCCGCAGAAGAAGCACCGGCUAACUCCGUG